Molecule: unclassified non-coding RNA, 363 nt
Filed under: soil metagenome
Description: partial contains 5.8S ribosomal RNA, internal transcribed spacer 2, and large subunit ribosomal RNA
Rfam family: 5.8S ribosomal RNA (bases 1-120)
Source: RNAcentral
GAUGAAGAACGUAGCGAAAUGUGAUAAGUAGUGUGAAUUGCAGAAUUCAGUGAAUCAUCGAAUCUUUGAACGCACAUUGCGCCCUCCGGCAUUCCGGGGGGCAUGCCUGUCCGAGCGUCACGAAAACCCCAUCACACUCGUUGUGGUCAUGGCUGCAGUGAGUCGUCUCCAGCGGAGAGGGUCACGCCGCUGAAAGGAAUGGUGCGGAUGAGUUCCGAUGGCCGAACGUAGUACUUGACAACCGUCGGCCGAUGGGACCCUCCAUCUCGCCCUGACGACGUACCCCCGUCGUACCCCCGAUCAGGUGGACCUCGGAUCAGGUAGGGAUACCCGCUGAACUUAAGCAUAUCAAUAAGCGGAGGA